Molecule: long non-coding RNA, 1329 nt
Organism: Quercus robur (English oak)
Lineage: Eukaryota; Viridiplantae; Streptophyta; Magnoliopsida; Fagales; Fagaceae
Exons: 3
Source: RefSeq, a predicted model, not a curated record
UGCCAAUAUUGCGAUACAGAGAAAGAGAAAGGGAAAAAGGGGAAAAACCUACUCUUUGCACAUCAGUCUUUUUAACUUUUUUUCUCUCUAAAAAAAACCCUAGCCAUACUACGAUAGAGGCGAUCUUUUCACAUCAAACUCCGCUACGAGAAAAGAAAAAAGAAGAAAGACUUGCGCCACAGUGGAGAUUCGAUUGAUCAUCACUAUCCCCUUUUGAGUUUUCCAGACUCUGCGAACCAGUGGAUAUUCAUACGGCCGGCCACUGCCAUACCCUGCCGGACUUAGAGCAUCACAAUCGGCAUCCGUCAAAGCUAAAUACGAUCAAACGCCUCAUAGGUUUUGAGAUACGGAGUUAGAGAUUGGCGAUAUUCUGACGAAAGAUCUAUCAUCUCUGCUCGGGCUUAUAAGACAGUUGGUAUCUAUUCAAGAAGAGCUACUUGAUUAAAUAUAAAGGUCAGGCCAGCCUAAUUUUCCUUUGUUGCUUUUUUUUUAAUUUGUAUCUCUUUAUCAUUUGUUAAUGUUUGAUUAAAAAAAACUUUAAACAAAAACAGUUUAAAAAAAGAUGGGUUUUAGUAUUUUUCUUUGAAUUCUUUGGUCUCAAAAUAUCAUCAUUACUUUUUUUUUUUUUUUUUUUAAUAGCACUGGGAGUAUCGCCCUAUUGAAAAUAGAUGUGUUUAGGAAAGGCCUAGGAGAAAAUAGAACUAUGACAAAUUUAGAAAAUACAGCUACUGAUUGGAUAAUCAAGUUUCAAGAAAGAAUAAUAUCAUCAAAAGAAUUUAGUGUAAAGUGUGUGCUCAAUACUUGAUAUAUUCUUUUUGUUAACAUUUAAAGUUAUGUUUGGGUGUGCUUUUGUUUUAAAUGCUUAGCAGAGAUUGAUGGGGUAGAUGGCAAUGGCAAGGCCAACAUUAGAUUUUUUUUUGAAUCGUUUUAACCUUUAUUCAGUUUUAAAAUCAAUUUGACUUCUAAAGUAAAUUUGUAAAGUCAAUUCAACAUUAGAUAUUUGGCUUUUAGUUUGUCUAUUAUUGGUUUCUAAAGUCAAUUUGUAUUUUAAGAGUGUGAUAUGCUCCCAAGAAUUUGUGAGUUUGUGAAUUUGUGAAUUUGACUAUUAUUGGUUGAAUUGUGGGUUACUUUGCAAAGCCAGCCAUUUUAAAGUGAACAAUUUGCAAUCUUAAUGGCUAUUCUGGCAUUUUGCAGAACAGGGGGUGUAGAAAUAGGUAUGUAACAUUUAGUUUCCUUUAUCUAAUUCUUUAUUGUUAGCUCACCAAAAACGUAAAUAUACUUUCAAACCAUUAAUAUUGAAACAUCUCAUGCUUUUAUUUGGUUGCUUUG